UACGUAGGGUGCAAGCGUUGUCCGGAAUUAUUGGGCGUAAAGAGCUCGUAGGCGGUUUGUCGCGUCUGCUGUGAAAGUUGGAGGCUCAACCUCCAGCCUGCAGUGGGUACGGGCAGACUAGAGUGCGGUAGGGGAGAUUGGAAUUCCUGGUGUAGCGGUGGAAUGCGCAGAUAUCAGGAGGAACACCAAUGGCGAAGGCAGAUCUCUGGGCCGUAACUGACGCUCAUGCACGAAAGCGUGGGGAGCAAACAGG
Molecule: ribosomal RNA, 253 nt
Filed under: uncultured bacterium
Lineage: Bacteria
Description: partial 16S ribosomal RNA
Rfam family: Bacterial small subunit ribosomal RNA
Source: RNAcentral